CAGCGCCACGAGUGGUGACCACGUUUAUUGGGCCUAAAGCGUCCGUAGCCGGUUUGGUAAAUCUUCUGUGAAAUUGUGCGGCUUAACCGUACAACGUGCAAGAGACACUGCCAGACUUGAGACCGGGAGGAGUCAGAAGUAUUCCAGGGGGAGCGGUAAAAUGUUAUAAUCCCUGGAGGACUACCUGUGGCGAAGGCGUCUGACCAGAACGGAUCUGACGGUGAGGGACGAAAGCCAGGGGAGCGAACCGGAUUAGAUACCCGAGUAGUCC
RNAcentral lists this ribosomal RNA (271 nucleotides) under uncultured archaeon. Its description in RNAcentral is "partial 16S ribosomal RNA". It matches the Rfam family "Archaeal small subunit ribosomal RNA", at positions 477 to 747 of the family's 1478-position model. The record is from RNAcentral.